Pomacea canaliculata is the source of this 1987-nucleotide RNA transcript. RefSeq lists it as uncharacterized. The record is from RefSeq and is a predicted model, not a curated record. The transcript has 9 exons. Lineage: Eukaryota; Metazoa; Mollusca; Gastropoda; Architaenioglossa; Ampullariidae.
GACAGUUUAAUGAGUGCCACCUCUAAUACCCACAAACCAAUAACACAACACAUUUCUCUCGGUUUUUGUUUUUUCUAUAAACCAGCAUGCAUCGUAUACAUAGGCCAUACUUCCGGUUUCGAGUUUUCAUUCGUCCCUUCACGUGCACAAAAUAAAGAUUGUUUUGUAUUUCUUAUAUAGGUAAGAAAAAUUCGUUCCGAAUGUCAUAUCUCGUAUUAGACACCCACUAUUGCACUGCUGCUCUUUCUGUUGUAUUUUGAAACUUGUAUUUAGUUUUGGUAUUCAUGUGUAGGUACAAUGCCGUAUUUCAAGAUCAAAGAAAAAAAGAAACCCACAACGAUAGUGAAGAUUUACAACAACUUGACAGGGCGAUGGGUAACCCUUAAAGAGAAUAAGCGAAAGAAAAAAGACACAGUUUCAGCUGCUCCCUCCCAGCCAAACACAGUUAUUGCUACUUCCUCCCAGCAGCCGAUCCCGACAACAUCAUCCAUCAAUGUUGAGCCUAUGGCUGUAGUUAUUGCUGCUUCCUCCCAGCAACCGAUCCCGACAACAUCAUCCAUCGAUGUUGAGCCUAUGGCUGUAGGAAGAGCAUUGGGAAAGAAGGGGCGCAAUUUAAGCUUCCCCUACAAGAAACACUUUCUGGCACCUGUAGUCAAAGUUACAGGGAUGCCAGAGGGUGUUGAAUUUAAACACCCUUCCAAAUAUACAGUUUCAGAAUUAAAGAAAAUAAUUGCCAACAAGGCUCACAUCAAGAUGGAGCUUAUAGCACCGAGUGUGGCAGAAGAACCGAGUCUGUGUGCUGCAGAUUUCCAACAAACACCAGUUGUGGCGGAUGUUUUCAUGGCCUCAGACCCACCUUCAGAAGUAGUACAAACCACGUUGGUGCAGGAUAUGGAAGAGGCGCCUAUAAGCACUUUGCAACAUAGCACAGUAAAGAAGAAUUCUGCAAAGCAACACCAGGAAUCCGGGCGAAAAACCAAAGAACAGGAUUCAGAACUCUGUGGACAGCAGAAGAAGUACUCAUUGUCCAGCAACACUUCAGUCAGGAGUUGGCUGGGCUGAAGCCAGUUUCACGCAGCAGCAUUGAGAGUUUUUUGGCCCAACAAACAGUGGUCAAAAGGACUUCUACUGCAGUGGGAAAUUAUCUAUUAAGGAACAGGAAGAAGAAAAACAGACCUAAUGAUCAGGGUUAGGGUUAGGGUGAAUCAAAGCACCUUCUCACCCACACUGAUGAUGCUUGAGAUGUUGGAUUGAGUAUGAUGAAGGGCAUUGUGUAUUUUCAAGACACAUUUUCACUGCCAUAUGUCAUCUGUUUCACUGACUGAAGGGUGGGUUCUUUCUGGGUACUCCAACUUCUUUAUCACCAACCACCUGUGUGAUAAUGUUACAUGAUACAGCCCACCAAAUUCAAGACAUUGGAAUAUUGCAAUUUUUCCUUUUUAGUAGCUGUCAGUUACAUUGAGCGAUAUGUAUUCUUCAUUGUGUUGUCUUUGCAGACAUAAACGGUUUGCCUAGUGAUGUGGUUUGAGCUUAGUGCAGAAAAAGCACAUGUAUGAUUAUAUGAAAUGUGUAAUAGGAAAGUUGUGACACACUUGCUUUGUAACGAAUAUGUUGCUGUCCAUGUGAUUUUGACAUGGUAGGGGGUUUUGGUUGUGUGACUGUUAUGUAGCUUCAGAUAUGAACUGACUAUUUGAUCUACACUGUUGGUGUUGCUAUUGUGGUUAUGUUGUAACUGAUUAUAUAAAAAUGCAAUGAAGUGUAAGAUUAUAAGUUUUUUAAAGUUGGUCUUUAUGAUUAAAUUCUUUGCUGGCAUGCGUUUGUGCAACAGUGCUCCUUAGGAUUCAUCAAAAAUUAAAAAUUAUUGUCAUUUUGAUUUGGUAUAAUGAAAAAUUCUCAAGCAUUGGUUUAUAGCUUGCCUUUCAAACUUAACAAUAAGGGAUGACCAAUUUCAUGCCUUGUCAAAUAAAACCAAGCAUAAUGUAUCAUA